This 356-nucleotide ribosomal RNA is filed under the name Alternaria sp. MBL_106. RNAcentral's name for it is "SSU rRNA". It matches the Rfam family "Eukaryotic small subunit ribosomal RNA", at positions 1287 to 1671 of the family's 1831-position model. The record is from RNAcentral. Lineage: Eukaryota; Fungi; Ascomycota; Dothideomycetes; Pleosporales; Pleosporaceae.
GCCGUUUUAGUCGUGGGGUGACUUUCUGUUAAUGCGAUAACGAGCGAGACCUUACUCUGCUAAUAGCCAGGCUAGCUUUGGCUGGUCGCCGGCUUCUUAGAGAGACUAUCAACUCAAGUUGAUGGAAGUUUGAGGCAAUAACAGGUCUGUGAUGCCCUUAGAUGUUCUGGGCCGCACGCGCGCUACACUGACAGAGCCAACGAGUUCUUUUCCUUGUUCGAAAGAAUUGGGUAAUCUUGUUAAACUCUGUCGUGCUGGGGAUAAAGCAUUGCAAUUAUUGCUUUUCAACGAGGAAUGCCUAGUAAGCGCGUGUCAUCAGCAUGCGUUGAUUACGUCCCUGACCUUUGUUCACUCCG